Molecule: ribosomal RNA, 218 nt
Filed under: uncultured bacterium
Lineage: Bacteria
Description: partial 16S ribosomal RNA
Rfam family: Bacterial small subunit ribosomal RNA
Source: RNAcentral
UAAGUCUCAGUUCGGAUUGAAGGCUGAAAUUCGCCUUCAUGAAGCCGGAAUUGCUAGUAAUGGCAGGUCAGCAUACUGCCGUGAAUACGUCCCCGGGCCUUGUACACACCGCCCGUCACACCAUGAGAGUUGGGAAUACCCGAAGCCUGUGAGCUAACUUUUAGAGGCAGCAGUCGAAGGUAGAAUCAAUGAUCGGGGUGAAGUCGUAACAAGGUAUC